AUGAAAGGAGCCCACAAACCAAGCCGGAGCAUGGCACAAGCCUUGAGGAAUGACAGCGAGAGUGAAAAGACCCGAUGGAUGAAUGAAAGCAGAAAAGCAUGGAUGGAAGGAGGAAAAGGUGGCUUUAUUACCUGCAGACUCCAACCGAGAGGGGAUUUAACACACGCAGCCAGCUGCGGAGGACAUCCCGAGCCCCUAAAAAUGCGAGGUCAAGCUAACCCAAAAAAGUCCUUACGAGGGACGUAUUUGAGUGAGGAAGGACAAAAAAAGCUUGGAAACCAGAUGGAUGUUUCUCCUAGUUGCUCCCGCAGACAGGAAUCUGCUCGCAGAGACGCGAGCCACGCUCUCCCCCAGGAGAGAAGUACAAAGGCCAGUCUGCACGCGGCAGAUGCAAAACCAAGUCCCUCUGCUGCAGGCUUCCCAUCGCCACAUGGAGAUUGA
This is a long non-coding RNA of Cyprinus carpio (common carp), 441 nucleotides long. The record is from Ensembl. Lineage: Eukaryota; Metazoa; Chordata; Actinopteri; Cypriniformes; Cyprinidae.